GUGAAAUUGUUGAAAGGGAAGCGCUUACAACCAGACUUGCGCGCGGCGGUUCCCCCUUCCUUUUGGUUGGGCUACUCCGUCGUGUCCAGGCCAACAUCGGUUCUGGGGGUCGGUUAAAGACCCUGGGAAUGUAUCUACCCUUCGGGCGUAGACUUAUAGCCCAGGGUGUCAUGCGGCCUCCCGGGACCGAGGAACGCGCUUCGGCUCGGAUGUUGGCGUAAUGGUUGUCAGCGACCCGUCUUGAAACACGG
This 251-nucleotide ribosomal RNA is filed under the name Capronia munkii. RNAcentral's name for it is "partial large subunit ribosomal RNA". It matches the Rfam family "Eukaryotic large subunit ribosomal RNA", at positions 399 to 664 of the family's 3401-position model. Lineage: Eukaryota; Fungi; Ascomycota; Eurotiomycetes; Chaetothyriales; Herpotrichiellaceae. The record is from RNAcentral.